This 468-nucleotide ribosomal RNA is filed under the name uncultured bacterium. RNAcentral's name for it is "partial 16S ribosomal RNA". It matches the Rfam family "Bacterial small subunit ribosomal RNA", at positions 28 to 507 of the family's 1533-position model. The record is from RNAcentral.
GACGAACGCUGGCGGCGUGCUUAACACAUGCAAGUCGAACGGAAAGGCCCUGCUUUUGUGGGGUGCUCGAGUGGCGAACGGGUGAGUAACACGUGAGUAACCUGCCCUUGACUUUGGGAUAACUUCAGGAAACUGGGGCUAAUACCGGAUAGGAGCUCCUGCUGCAUGGUGGGGGUUGGAAAGUUUCGGCGGUUGGGGAUGGACUCGCGGCUUAUCAGCUUGUUGGUGGGGUAGUGGCUUACCAAGGCUUUGACGGGUAGCCGGCCUGAGAGGGUGGCCGGCGACAUGGGGACUAAGAUAGGGCGCAGACUGGUACGGGAGGCAGCAGGGGGGAAUAUGGCACAAUGGGCGGAAGCCUGAGGCAGCAACGCCGCGUGCGGGAUGACGGCCUUCGGGUUGUAAACCGCUUUCGCAUGUGACGAAGCGUGAGUGACGGUAAUGGGUAAAGAAGCACCGGCUAACUACGUG